GAUGAACGCUGGCGGCGUGCCUAAUACAUGCAAGUCGAGCGAACAGAUGAGGAGCUUGCUCCUCUGACGUUAGCGGCGGACGGGUGAGUAACACGUGGAUAACCUACCUAUAAGACUGGGAUAACUUCGGGAAACCGGAGCUAAUACCGGAUAAUAUAUUGAACCGCAUGGUUCAAUAGUGAAAGACGGUUUUGCUGGCACUUAUAGAUGGAUCCGCGCCGCAUUAGCUAGUUGGUAAGGUAACGGCUUACCAAGGCAACGAUGCGUAGCCGACCUGAGAGGGUGAUCGGCCACACGGGAACUGAGACACGGUCCAGACUCCUACGGGAGGCAGCAGUAGGGAAUCUUCCGCAAUGGGCGAAAGCCUGACGGAGCAACGCCGCGUGAGUGAUGAAGGUCUUCGGAUCGUAAAACUCUGUUAUGAGGGAAGAACAAAUGUGUAAGUAACUAUGCACGUCUUGACGGUACCUAAUCAGAAAGCCACGGCUAACUACGUG
RNAcentral lists this ribosomal RNA (497 nucleotides) under uncultured bacterium. RNAcentral's name for it is "partial 16S ribosomal RNA". It matches the Rfam family "Bacterial small subunit ribosomal RNA", at positions 28 to 507 of the family's 1533-position model. The record is from RNAcentral.